This 910-nucleotide ribosomal RNA is filed under the name Botryosphaeria dothidea. Its description in RNAcentral is "LSU rRNA". It matches the Rfam family "Eukaryotic large subunit ribosomal RNA", at positions 37 to 965 of the family's 3401-position model. The record is from RNAcentral. Lineage: Eukaryota; Fungi; Ascomycota; Dothideomycetes; Botryosphaeriales; Botryosphaeriaceae.
AGCAUAUCAAUAAGCGGAGGAAAAGAAACCAACAGGGAUUGCCUUAGUAACGGCGAGUGAAGCGGCAACAGCUCAAAUUUGAAAGCUGGCUCCUUUGGAGUCCGCGUUGUAAUUUGUAGAGGAUGAUUCGGCAAGGGCUCCCGCCUAAGUCUCCUGGAACGGAGCGUCAUAGAGGGUGAGAAUCCCGUAUGCGGUGGGCUGCCUAAGCCAUGUGAAUCUCCUUCGACGAGUCGAGUUGUUUGGGAAUGCAGCUCUAAAUGGGAGGUAAAUUUCUUCUAAAGCUAAAUACCGGCCAGAGACCGAUAGCGCACAAGUAGAGUGAUCGAAAGAUGAAAAGCACUUUGGAAAGAGAGUUAAAAAGUACGUGAAAUUGUUGAAAGGGAAGCGCUUGCAGCCAGACUUGUCCGCAGUUGCUCAGCCGGUCUCCUGACCGGUGUACUCUUCUGCGGCCAGGCCAGCAUCAGUUCGGGCGGUCGGAUAAAGACCUCGGGAAUGUAGCUCCUCUCGGGGAGUGUUAUAGCCCGGGGUGGAAUGCGGCCAGCCUGGACUGAGGAUCUCGCUUCGGCUAGGAUGCUGGCGUAAUGGCUGUAAGCGGCCCGUCUUGAAACACGGACCAAGGAGUCUAACAUCUAUGCGAGUGUUUGGGUGUCAAACCCAUGCGCGUAAUGAAAGUGAACGGAGGUGGGAACCCUCACGGGUGCACCAUCGACCGAUCCUGAUGUCUUCGGAUGGAUUUGAGUAAGAGCAUAGCUGUUGGGACCCGAAAGAUGGUGAACUAUGCCUGAAUAGGGUGAAGCCAGAGGAAACUCUGGUGGAGGCUCGCAGCGGUUCUGACGUGCAAAUCGAUCGUCAAAUUUGGGUAUAGGGGCGAAAGACUAAUCGAACCAUCUAGUAGCUGGUUCCUGCCGAG